GAUGAACGCUGGCGGCGUGCCUAAAAACAUGCAAGUCGAGCGGUAAGGCUCUGCACUUAGUGUUUGAUCGAGAUGACACAGUUAUCACAGUUGACUAAUUGGAACCUUGGCGGGGGAAGAACGGAAGAGGAAGAUCGAAUCAUAAGUGUAGAGUACACGAGCGGCGGACGGGUGAGUAACACGUGGGAAUCUACCCCAAACUGAGGGAUAAGCACCGGAAACGGUGUCUAAUACCGCAUAUGGUCUUCGGAUUAAAGCUUCGGCGGUUUGGGAAGAGCCCGCGUAAGAUUAGCUAGUUGGUGAGGUAAAGGCUCACCAAGGCGACGAUCUUUAGCUGGUUUGAGAGGAUGAUCAGCCACACUGGAACUGAGACACGGUCCAGACUCCUACGGGAGGCAGCAGUUAGGAAUUUUCCACAAUGGGCGAAAGCCUGAUGGAGCAACGCCGCGUGCAGGAUGAAGGUUUUCGGAUUGUAAACUGCUUUUAUGUGCGAAGAAUAUGAAC
This 504-nucleotide ribosomal RNA is filed under the name uncultured bacterium. RNAcentral describes it as "bacterial SSU rRNA". It matches the Rfam family "Bacterial small subunit ribosomal RNA", at positions 28 to 456 of the family's 1533-position model. The record is from RNAcentral.